ACAGUAUUUGAAAUUUGAAAACAUCGGUUCUCGUCCGAUCACCAAAGUUAAGCAAUAUCGGGCCCGGUCAGUUCUUGGGGAGGGUGAUCAUGGUGCCAUGAUC
This is a non-coding RNA of Cordylochernes scorpioides, 103 nucleotides long. NCBI's taxonomy places the organism in Eukaryota, Metazoa, Arthropoda, Arachnida, Pseudoscorpiones, Chernetidae. The record is from the annotation of a GenBank genome assembly.